Molecule: non-coding RNA, 152 nt
Organism: Pelobates cultripes (western spadefoot toad)
Lineage: Eukaryota; Metazoa; Chordata; Amphibia; Anura; Pelobatidae
Source: the annotation of a GenBank genome assembly
UAUUGCAAAAACGUGUAGUAAUACAACAUGAUCUAGUCGACGUUUCAGUCCACGAAGGACUUUUAUCAAGACAAUCUUGUCGUCUUGAUAAAAGUCCUUCGUGGACUGAAACGUCGACUAGAUCAUGUUGUAUUACUACACGUUUUUGCAAU